This 1366-nucleotide ribosomal RNA is filed under the name Rhacophorus lateralis (small tree frog). Its description in RNAcentral is "partial 16S rRNA". It matches the Rfam family "Bacterial large subunit ribosomal RNA", at positions 159 to 2557 of the family's 2925-position model. The record is from RNAcentral. Lineage: Eukaryota; Metazoa; Chordata; Amphibia; Anura; Rhacophoridae.
GGACCAAAAACCUAGCCUACAUCACUUUAUGUCAAAACUUCUCUAUAUAGACAAGAUAAAACAUUUUAACUUCAUAGUAGAGGUGAUCAAAAAAUACUUAAGCGCCUAAGAAAUAGUACCGAGAGGGAAAGAUGAAAUAAAAAUGAAAUAAAUUUUAAGUCAACUAAAGCAGAGACUACCACUCGUACCUUUUGCAUCAUGGUCCAGCCAGUCUGACCAAGCAAAAUGAAGGUUUAAGUUUGCACCCCCGAAACUAAGCGAGCUACUUCAAAACAGCUUCAAGAGCCAACCCGUCUCUGUGGCAAUAGAGUGGGAAGAUUUUCAAGUAGAAGUGACAGACCUAACGAGCUUAGAGAUAGCUGGUUGUUCAGAAAAAGAAUUUUAGUUCUGCCUUAAAUUUCCUUAUGUUAUAAAACAAACUCAUAAAUUUAAGAGUUAUUCAAAUAAGGCACAGCUUAUUUGAAACAGGGCACAACCUACACAUCAGGGUAAACUAUAAAUCACAUAUAAAGUGGGCCUAAGGGCAGCCAUCUUUAAAAAAGCGUUAAAGCUUUAUUUCUUACAUUACCUAAUCCCAAACCCCUAAAUGAACCCUAACCCAAUACUGAACGACCCCAUAAACAUAUGGGAAACAUUAUGCUGGAACUAGUAACAUGAAUUUUCUAUUCUCCAAAAUGCAAGUAUAAGCCAGAAAGGAUUAACCACUGGCCAUUAACGAAAAUGAAAAAACUAUAGUAACACAACAAGAAAACCCUAUAAUAUCUGCCGUUAACCUUACACCAGAGCAUUUCCGGAAGAUUAAAAGAGAAAGAAGGAACUCGGCAAAUUUCAGCCCCGCCUGUUUACCAAAAACAUCGCCUCUUGAAAAACUAUAAGAGGUCCAGCCUGCCCAGUGAUAAAUUAAACGGCCGCGGUAUCCUAACCGUGCGAAGGUAGCAUAAUCACUUGUUCUUUAAUUAAGGACUCGUAUCAACGGCAUCACGAGGGUUGUACUGUCUCCUUUCUCCAAUCAGUGAAACUGAUCUCCCCGUGAAAAAGCGGGGAUACACCAAUAAGACGAGAAGACCCCAUGGAGCUUUAAACCUUACAGCAACUCUGCCAUACAAUCCUUUAUAGCCCUCAGAGUUAUGCAUGUUAGUUUUUGGUUGGGGCGACCGCGGAGUAAAAACCACCCUCCACGACAAAAAGAGCUAAAUCUUUAUCUAAGAGCCACCGCUCUAAGAAUUAGAACACUAAUGUACCAUGACCCGAUAAUCGAUCAACGAAUCAAGUUACCCUGGGGAUAACAGCGCCAUCUACUUCAAGAGUACAUAUCGACAAGUGGGCUUACGACCUCGAUGUUGGAUCAGGGUAACCAAGUGGCGCA